This 4465-nucleotide long non-coding RNA is filed under the name Sus scrofa (pig). Its description in RNAcentral is "lncRNA (ENSSSCG00000062941.1)". The record is from RNAcentral. Lineage: Eukaryota; Metazoa; Chordata; Mammalia; Artiodactyla; Suidae.
CUUUUCUAGGGCCGCUUACCGCGGCACAUGGAGGUUCCCAGGAUAGGGGUCUAAUCAGACCUGUAGCCACUGACCUACACCACAGCCACAGCAACUUGGGAUCCGAGCCACGUCUGUGACCUACACCACAGCUCACAGCAACGCCAGAUCCUCAACCCACUGAGCAAGGCCAGGGAUUGAACUCGCAACCUCAUGGUUCCUAGUCACAUUCAUUAACCACUGUGCCACGAUGGGAACUCUAAUAACUGUUGAGUUUUACACAACGUAUAUACUUAACAUUUUCUUACAAGGGGGAAAAAUAGGGAUUCAUGUGGAAAGUACUCAAUUUACAAAAUGUCCCUAGGAAUCCAGAAAUAAAUUGUAAAAUAAAUGUGAAGGGCUUACCACACAGAUCUACUUCACCUCAGAAUAUUAACCUUGGCUAAGCAGAUCAGAUGAACGUAUGCUGUUUUACAUGUAUAUAACUCUUAAAAAAUAAAGGUAAGUAUUCUGCCCGAAAGCAUCCUCUAACAGCUUCCCUUCACUUUGAAUUCUUCUGAAAAUGCUCCUCUCCCUCAGCCUUUUAUGUAGCCUAGGGCUGAUAUCCAAACUAUAUAAUCAGGCAUUUGGAGACCCACAUAUUUGGUUUUCCAGCCUUGCCAUCAGCUGCUUUCCACCAUGAGCUCUUUUUCAGAGAAUUUUGUUUCCUUACCCUCCUCCAAACAAAAACUUCCCAGAAUCUCCUGCACAACCCUUCCUAGUUACUGAUUCCUUUGCUUUGAUCUAUGAAGUAAAUACUUGGGGAUUUUCCCCAAUGGCUGUGUUUUUGCUUUCUGCUUAUCCUUCAUCCACAUUAGAGUGUAAAUUAUUGAGAAAUGAUUUCCUUCCAUCCCAAACUGUCACAAAACAUUCACACACAUUUUGUGCUGCAUAACUCUAGGGAAUCCCCCCAUCCACAAAGAUCACAGUGUCAACAGGGAGCCCUGGAGAACCACCUGCUUCUACAGAUUUGGUAGCUCAUCAUCAACAAGUAGCAGGGCAAACAGUGGACCUAUAUCCAACACUAGGAAAUAACCUAUUUGGACAUCAUUUUAAAAAGCAGGAAAUGAGAAGAACAAAAUGAAUGAAGAAAAUAUUGACGUUGCUCAUGCAUCUGCCCAGGUCAGAGAAUUUUCUUAUGCUCAUGUCCAAUUGCUCUGUUUCAAAUGGGGCAAAUGCUGAGUCUGGUUGAUGGGCCAAAACACAGAGAGUUUAAUGGUUAGAUCUUCCUCUUGACCCAGGGGAAGUAUCUUGAAACUUGGAAUAUGACCUCAGUAUCUUUCUAGGCCACAGCUUUGCAUGGACCACAACCUUGUGCCAACCCCUUUUGUUUGUUAUUACUCUUCCUAUGAAACAACAAAAUUUGAUCUCUCUUUUCUAUACUCCUAAGAAAAACUCAGGAACUUGUUUUUGAAACAUUUUCCCAUUUUGGCCUCUCUGACAUGCUGUGACACUGUUCCCCACCCCCACUUCCCUAUGCCAUGAUAACUCUUUCCUCUAUUCUUUUUUAAAAAAUAAUCCUUUUCUGAUUUAUCCUCCUCUUUUUGCUCCUCCAGUGGUCAUCCUUUAAGGUUCAUAUCUCUGCCUUUUUUUCUCUCUAUAUUUGGUCUUAUGCUAUUAUGCCUUAUGCUAUUACCCCAUUUCCUGAUCACCUCCAUGUGGAAGAUGGAUACUAAAUUCAACUUAUUCAUCUAUUUCUGACCUCUACUUGAACUUUGCACCCAUGUUUCCGUGCCCCACUGAACAUGAUCAAUGGGAUCCGCUGCUGUCCAAUAACCUCACUCCAGUGUAUCCUUCCUGCUCCAUAUCUGUUAAUGUAUUAUCAGUCUUCCUCUCACCAAGGAUUGAAACCUUGAAGCUAUCUUUUUAAUUUCCUUCUCCUUAUCUCCCUUAACCCCCCCAAUCCAUCAGUAAUCAAGGGAUGCUAAUAAUUCAUUCUAAAUUACUUCCCAUAUUUGGCACUUUCAUUACAUUCAUAUCAUUACCACAGUGUAUGCCCUUAUUACUUUAUAUCUGGAUUCAGAUUAAGAUACGGGAGUUAUUUAGUGAGCACCUGCUAGGUGUCAGAAACUGCUGCCUGCUUUUACAAACCUUGAAUGUUUCUCCAGUUUCUUUCCUUUAAAGUCUUCUCAACCCAACUUUUAGAUUAAUAUUUAUAAAAUAUUAAUUUAGUCAUCUCUCUUUUCUCCUGGCAGAAUCCCUCUACUGGCAACUGUAUUUCUUCACUUCUUUUCAACAUCAGCUCUAUUCCACUGAAGCUUCAUCUUGCCUCACUGCUUUAUAUACUGUGAUACAUUUUAAAAAAUGGCCACAGACUAUUCCCAUCUUCAAAUGAAUACCACUUUGUGAUCUAAAACUAUAGUUCCUCCAGUCACAAUACGGCAUCAAUUUUUCUACUUUGCCUUGUGACUGGCUUUGGCCAAUGGGACAAUAAGCAACAUGACUCAAGCAAAGACUGGAAAGGUAGGCUUGCACAAGCACUUGCCCAUUAUUGUUGCACUUGGAACCUUAAGAACAUCACGUUAAUGAACCUAAGCCAGCGUGAUGAAGGAGCACUCUAGCUUACAGUGGAAAAUCACCGGACAUAGGCAAGAGGCCUUCCUUAAUUACCAGCCAUCAGCCAAGCCACCAGCUGCUCACUUCCACAUGAGAGAGCUUAGAAAAUCAGCAAAACCAGCUGGACUAGAACAACUAUUCAGCCAUCCACAAAAUCAUGAACUAAAUAAAUCAUGAACAACUUGGUUGUUUUAAACCACCAAGUUUCAGGAGGGGUUGUUAUGCAGCAAAAGCUGAUCAGCACUUGGGUUAGGUGCCUUCUUUUUGAUGUCGUUCUUAAAUACUCUGGUUCCACAAUGGUUUUCUCUCUUUCUCUCUCUCCUCCUUCCCUCCAGACCUCCUUUUUCUGAGUUUUUAUGGCAUUCUGACUAUACCAUUAGUUCCAGGAGAUCUUGUUAUCUUCCCACACAAUGCCGCCAGUGUCUAUUUCAUGGGAACAACUUGUCUAUACCACUUAUCAGGCACUUAACUAUAUCCUGUCUUAUUGUUAACAUUGCAUGAGCCUAAGUCUAUUUUCUCCAAAUAGGUAACAAAUCUAACCUAUCUCCUUCAAAUUUUACUAUCAGUUUAGAAUAAAUCAGCAUUCCAUGGCCAAAACAUGUAUUCAAUAAGUAAGUAUUGAUUAAAUGAAAGACCCCCUCACAAUUAAAACGUAAAAACAUAUUCAACCAUUUUAGUGCAAAAGUGGGCUAGUAAUUCACAUGACUGGAAAGACCGUAUUCAAUGAGGCUGAGCACAUUCUCUUCUCUGCCCUCCUCCCUGGCUCAUCUCCGAAAUCCAACUUAAGAACCCCCUGCCCAGAGAGAUAAACGGGAACAAAAGCAAAACAUGGGAAAGGGUAAGACCCUGGCUUGCCCUUCAUAUAUUUUUCUAAUCCUUUAUAGUAAGUAGUAGGUUGAAAAUGAUUUAUCUCAUUUAUCUUUCAGCUUUAUGUCAAAUGUACAUUGUGAUAUGCAUAGGAUACACAAUGAAGCUGAGAUUUUUCUUUUGCAGGACCAUUAAGUUAGAAAUGUCUGGCUUUUAUUUUCUGGAGUGCCUACAGCAUUUUUACUUCAGUGCUGCAUUAAAGUAAUUUUUACAUUUAAUAUGGAAUAAAGGCAAAGCUAUCUCACAAUGCCCUAACCACAGGUACGUGGGCGAACAGUUGUCUACAGAUUAUAGCUUGGAAACGGAUUCAAAGGAAAGCUAAGAAAGGCAAAACAACUCAAUUUGGAAUGUGAAUCAGCCUUGGAAUUGGCAUGCUUCAGUGAGAAUGGUGUUUUCUUUCCUGCUUCAGAGAUGGCUCCCCAAUACAAAUUCUGCUUCCAAGAUAUAUAGGGUAUAGCAUUCCAAUCUGGAGAGAUUUGGAGGCUCCUUGAGCACAGAAUUUUUUUAAAAAAAGCACAGCAUAUACAUUUUCCAUAAACCCGCUAUUAAAAACAAAUGCUUACAUAUACUUAUCAUCUUCAGGUAUUUUAUCUCCUCUACACUCCUCCAUGAUAAACAGAUGGAAAUAAAUCCCCAGUUAAGUAGGCAUCAGAUUGGCAAGGAAGGAAGAGGCAGCAGAGAAGCUGAGGUGGAAACAAAUGAUAGGACUUAGAUUCUUUCCUUUUUCUAAAUCUUUAAGGCUAAGGACAUUGCUUUGCUCACUCAAUCUCAUAUUAUAUUCUUUCAUUGAUUAAAAAAAUUACUCUGCCAAAACUAGAAGCAACAAGAUGUUUCUUCAUAAGUGAAUAAAGAAACUGUGGUAUAGACACAAGAGUGGAUUUUAUUCAGCAAUAAGAAGAAAUGAGUGAUUAAGCAACAAAAAGAUAUGGAUAAAUCUUUUUGUUUGCUUGUUUUCUUUUUAGGGCCUUACCCAUGGCAUAUGGAAGUUCCCAGGCUAGGGGAUGAAUCAGAGUGGUAGCUACCG